Long non-coding RNA from Nothoprocta perdicaria, 2027 nucleotides. RefSeq lists it as uncharacterized. The transcript is spliced from 2 exons. NCBI's taxonomy places the organism in Eukaryota, Metazoa, Chordata, Aves, Tinamiformes, Tinamidae. The record is from RefSeq and is a predicted model, not a curated record.
UUUCUAGGCACAAGAAGAACUUUCUACAAGGUUAGAGGGCGGCUAAAUGAAGUUGCACUUCUGGGGCCGAGGGGCGUGUUCUCCUGCUCCCGGCUGUAAUCCAACGCUCGUCCUGAUGAUGUCAAGCAGCUCCCGCUCGGCGGCUACCUUACAGCGGGGCGGGAGGCAUCGGUUUCCUCCUCGCGGAGAUCUCCGCUUAGCGUUGCCUUGUAACCUCAUCUCCCGGCAGCUGCGGCCGCCCCGACAUCCUGCCUGCGAUCUCGGGCGCUGGAGCUUUCGCUGCGAGACGCUCCCUUGGCGCCGGAGCGGCCCCGGCCCCGCGAGGCUCCACCUGUUACUGGUGCCUCGUGCGGGCAGCGCCCCGGGGGCUCUUGAGCUCUCUGCUUGGAUUCACCCCAGCUGCGCCUCGGCAUUCGGCUGUGCCGCGCAGCCUGGACGAGGGCACUCGCUCCUGACGCCGUGCGGUUUCACGGGGCUGCGUGCAAGUGCGUCAAGUUCUCUUCCCACGGACGGUGGCCUUAUCUGGGGGUGAAAUGUGGAGCUGGGGUCAGCACGGCCCCCAGGUUUAAGGGGGAAAGUCUAUGGGGCAAGACAGUGCUGUGUGUUGAGCAUGUAUGUGUGUCCAUGCUGCUGUGAUGCUCAGGCUGUUCCAGGGGCAGAGGAAUUCUUGGCUGCUCCUGCCCAUAUCAGAGGCCCCUCUGUGRUGUUGACCUCCUUAUAUCCUGUCCCCCUUGGAGGCAGCACUGGGUGACCAAGAGCAAAAGGACAAGCUGUCUGAGUGCCGCAUGCCAAGACUUUCACCCAGCACAGCGGAGAGGUGCACAGGUCUGUAGAUGUGAGGGACUAACAUCUGUGUGUGGCUUGCUCCUGAAAAGAUCCCUCAAUGCCAAUUGCCUUGCUGAGGGAUUGCAAGGACAGCUGGUCCCUGCUGCAAGGGCACAACAGGCCGCAAGCUUGUGAAGGACAGGAUAAGUGGGCUCGUCUCAACUGGGGAACAUGAAGGAUAUUUGCAGAGGACCUGGUUCAAUCUCUACUGGAGCCRUGGGAGCUUUCCCGUCUGCUGCAUGCAAAGUGAGCAGUGGUGAGGACUUGGCUCCUCCAACCUGCCAUCUUGCUGAGCAGAAGGCAGCUGUAAAACCAGCCUUCCUCUUGUCCUGCAGCUCCACGUGCCAGAUGGGCCUCGGAGUCGUUGUGCCCCAGGUUUGCCACCUGCCUGCGAGCCGACCAAGAGCAUCAUCUGGACCAGCUCCACUAGCGAGACACCCUGUUGGGGUGCCCCAAAACCUGAGCUGCUUGUUGUGAUGGGUGCACACACACCUCUUGACAACAUGUGCAGGAAGAGAGAAAAAAAAUACCAAGAGAAACCAUGCAGGAAACACCCUGAUGACUAUAGUGAGGCACUAAGGAAGGAGAAAAAGACCUUGAUAAAGCAAAAGGUGCUUGUACUCAGUGUAGCUGCUGAGCCCUAARCUGACCUGAUAGAGCCCUGCCUCUUGAUUCAAUUCUGUUUUGUUUCCAAACUGGCACCAGGAAGCCAGUUUGCUUUUCAGAGAUGUAUCGUUUGACAGAAACUAAUCUGAGUCAUACAUUAUUAAUUACCAGAACGUAACGGUAAUGACUUCACCACAGAGUGCCAAGUGUUGCCUGGCCUCACUAGGGAUGCAGCUGGUGUGGGAGGGCUCCAAUGCCAAGAUAUCAGCUCUCCAGACCAUUGCUUCAGGAGAUUGCUCYGCUGGUCCAGCAAAGACUCAAGGUUUCUUGUAUUUAUUCCAACUCAUAUUUGAAAGAAAUCCAGAGGAUGAAAGUUUUUACACUAGCACUUAGACUGCAGGGUCUGAAGGCCAAAUGUUGUCAUGUGCUUGCGAGGAUACAAGUGCCUACCACAAGAACAACCCCAUGAGGCAACACACGCAAUGAGUAGCAAUAACAACAACAAAGCUCUUCAGCAAUCUUGCAGCAUGAUAUACAACUUUGCAUUUUAAACAAGAUUUCUAUUAACUAUUUGCCAUACCUGAACCCCCUAAUCC